UGGGGGGGAGGCCUUAAAACAUGACAAGUCGAACGGUAACAGGAAGCAGCUUGCUGCUUUGCUGACGAGUGGCGGACGGGUGAGUAAUGUCUGGGAAACUGCCUGAUGGAGGGGGAUAACUACUGGAAACGGUGGCUAAUACCGCAAAACGUCGCAAGACCAAAGAGGGGGACCUUCGGGCCUCUUGCCAUCAGAUGUGCCCAGAUGGGAUUAGCUUGUUGGUGAGGUAACGGCUCACCAAGGCGACGAUCCCUAGCUGGUCUGAGAGGAUGACCAGCCACACUGGAACUGAGACACGGUCCAGACUCCUACGGGAGGCAGCAGUGGGGAAUAUUGCACAAUGGGCGCAAGCCUGAUGCAGCCAUGCCGCGUGUAUGAAGAAGGCCUUCGGGUUGUAAAGUACUUUCAGCGGGGAGGAAGGUGUUGUGGUUAAUAACCGCAGCAAUUGACGUUACCCGCAGAAGAAGCACCGGCUAACUCCGUGCCAGCAGCCGCGGUAAUACGGAGGGUGCAAGCGUUAAUCGGAAUUACUGGGCGUAAAGCGCACGCAGGCGGUCUGUCAAGUCGGAUGUGAAAUCCCCGGGCUCAACCUGGGAACUGCAUUCGAAACUGGCAGGCUUGAGUCUUGUAGAGGGGGGUAGAAUUCCAGGUGUAGCGGUGAAAUGCGUAGAGAUCUGGAGGAAUACCGGUGGCGAAGGCGGCCCCCUGGACAAAGACUGACGCUCAGGUGCGAAAGCGUGGGGAGCAAACAGGAUUAGAUACCCUGGUAGUCCACGCCGUAAACGAUGUCUACUUGGAGGUUGUGCCCUUGAGGCGUGGCUUCCGGAGCUAACGCGUUAAGUAGACCGCCUGGGGGAGUACGGCCGCAAGUUAAAACUCAAAUGAAUUGACGGGGCCCGCACAAGCGGUGGAGCAUGUGGUUUAAUUCGAUGCAACGCGAAGAACCCUUACCUGGUCUUGACAUCCACAGAACUUUCCAGAGAUGGAUGGGUGCCCUUCGGGAACUGUGAGAACAGUGCUGCAUGGCUGUCGUCAGCUCGUGUUGUGAAAUGUGGAUAGUCCCGCAACGAGCGCACCUUAUCCUUUGUGCAGCCGUUCCGCCGGACUCAGAGACUGCAUGCAUAACUGAGAGGUGGGAUGACGUCAAGUCAUCAUGCCUUACGAACC
This 1167-nucleotide ribosomal RNA is filed under the name Salmonella enterica subsp. enterica serovar Typhi. Its description in RNAcentral is "bacterial SSU rRNA". It matches the Rfam family "Bacterial small subunit ribosomal RNA", at positions 37 to 1209 of the family's 1533-position model. The record is from RNAcentral. Lineage: Bacteria; Pseudomonadati; Pseudomonadota; Gammaproteobacteria; Enterobacterales; Enterobacteriaceae.